Molecule: ribosomal RNA, 744 nt
Filed under: uncultured bacterium
Lineage: Bacteria
Description: bacterial SSU rRNA
Rfam family: Bacterial small subunit ribosomal RNA
Source: RNAcentral
AGCGGCGGAUGGGUGAGUAACACGUGGGGAACCUGCCCCUAAGUCUGGGAUACCAUUUGGAAACAGGUGCUAAUACCGGAUAAUAAAGCAGAUCGCAUGAUCAGCUUUUGAAAGGCGGCGUAAGCUGUCGCUAAGGGAUGGCCCCGCGGUGCAUUAGCUAGUUGGUAAGGUAACGGCUUACCAAGGCGACGAUGCAUAGCCGAGUUGAGAGACUGAUCGGCCACAUUGGGACUGAGACACGGCCCAAACUCCUACGGGAGGCAGCAGUAGGGAAUCUUCCACAAUGGACGCAAGUCUGAUGGAGCAACGCCGCGUGAGUGAAGAAGGUUUUCGGAUCGUAAAGCUCUGUUGUUGGUGAAGAAGGAUAGAGGUAGUAACUGGCCUUUAUUUGACGGUAAUCAACCAGAAAGUCACGGCUAACUACGUGCCAGCAGCCGCGGUAAUACGUAGGUGGCAAGCGUUGUCCGGAUUUAUUGGGCGUAAAGCGAGCGCAGGCGGAAAAAUAAGUCUAAUGUGAAAGCCCUCGGCUUAACCGAGGAACUGCAUCGGAAACUGUUUUUCUUGAGUGCAGAAGAGGAGAGUGGAACUCCAUGUGUAGCGGUGGAAUGCGUAGAUAUAUGGAAGAACUCCAGUGGCGAAAGGCGGCUCUCUGGUCUGCAACUGACGCUGAGGCUCGAAAGCAUGGGUAGCGAACAGGAUUAGAUACCCUGGUAGUCCAUGCCGUAAACGAUGAGUGCUAAGUGU